This is a long non-coding RNA of Glossina fuscipes, 1123 nucleotides long. RefSeq lists it as uncharacterized. The transcript has 3 exons. Lineage: Eukaryota; Metazoa; Arthropoda; Insecta; Diptera; Glossinidae. The record is from RefSeq and is a predicted model, not a curated record.
UAAUUUUAAUAAUUACAAGCGAAACGAAAAUAUUUAAGUCAAUAAGAAUAUUUACGUAAAUAAAAGUGAAAAUUAAUCGACAUCAGUAGUACAUCAAGAAACCGAGUGAGACAAUUUUAUUUGAACUUAAAACGAAUAUUUCGAAUUCGAUUUAUCGCAUAGCUUUUAAUAUAAUAAUUGGAAGAGACAUUCAUUUGUACAUGAAUAGAAAAUUUAUUUGACUUAGAUCGGAUAUUGUGAACGUAAAAUUAGGCGCGCGUUCACUGAGACUGCAAACAAUUUAAGCUAAUCUAAUAUUGAAGCAUAAGAGACGAGAGAGAUUCUAGUUCAUUAAAUAACAUUUAUUCACUGCUUGUCAGUUAGUUAAGCGUUUCGACGAGCAAAUCAUCUAUACACGUACAUAGUUAGAUAAAUGUCUUCAUUAGUGGAUAUAAACGAAAUCGCACAAUUGGAUAAAUAUUCUACAGGCCGGUCAUAUUAAUCAAAUAUUAACACGCAUAUAGCAAAUAGCAAAUAGCAAAUAGCAACAACAAUAACAUAUUGGAAAAGCAUGGCCAUAAUGCGGUUACAAAGUUGUGCAAACUAUUUCAAGCGCAAAACGCACUAGUUUUCGGAAAGGACUGGGAGAACGUAACGAGAGAGGGAGAAUAUAGUGAAAGAAAUGUUUUUGUAUGCAUGCGAUAAAAGUAAAAAUUGGCAAUUGCAACAACAGAAACAGAAAGAGCAGCAUCGUUGCUUUAUGAUUUCAGCGAUUCGUACAACGCAUCAUCGAACGUUGAAAUGUGUUGCUGCUGAUUGCGGUAGUUGUAGUAGUAGUGGUUACCACACUUCUAUUGCUAUGCUAAAAUACAAUGGAUUAUUGUAGUUGUUGUUCCAUUAAAUGCAUUAUCAACGACAACGACUACUACAACGAUGAGGUAUUAAAAGAAAUUGUUUUGUUGCAAAAAUUUCAUGGUCGAAGCAUGUUUAGAAAUUGAAACGUUAACUAAAACAAUACAACAAUACAUAACAACAGCAACAACAAAAUCUCUUUAACAGUUGAAAACGAAAGUAACAAUCGAUACUCAUCAACACUUUAACCUCACAAUCUUAGUGUGGGAAGACGCUUUUCUAGGAGCAAUAA